UACGUAGGGGGCAAGCGUUAUCCGGAUUUACUGGGUGUAAAGGGAGCGUAGACGGCUGUGCAAGUCUGAAGUGAAAGCCCGUGGCUCAACCGCGGAACUGCUUUGGAAACUGUAUAGCUUGAGUACAGUAGAGGUGGGCGGAAUUCGUGGUGUAGCGGUGAAAUGCUUAGAUAUCACGAAGAACUCCGAUUGCGAAGGCAGCUCACUGGACUGCAACUGACACUGAGGCUCGAAAGUGUGGGUAUCAAAAAGG
This 253-nucleotide ribosomal RNA is filed under the name uncultured bacterium. Its description in RNAcentral is "partial 16S ribosomal RNA". It matches the Rfam family "Bacterial small subunit ribosomal RNA", at positions 524 to 776 of the family's 1533-position model. The record is from RNAcentral.